Molecule: transfer RNA, 73 nt
Filed under: Actinomycetales bacterium
Lineage: Bacteria; Bacillati; Actinomycetota; Actinomycetes; Actinomycetales
Also listed under: 2 other names
Description: tRNA-Arg
Rfam family: tRNA
About the family: Transfer RNA (tRNA) molecules are approximately 80 nucleotides in length.
Source: RNAcentral
GCCCUCGUAGCUCAGUGGAUAGAGCAACGGUUUCCUAAACCGUGUGUCGGAGGUUCGAUUCCUCUCGGGGGCA